AACCACCACCUUGGAUUUCAGACCGAGGAAAGGAAGCAAAAGCAAAGGUGUGGUUACACAGGACUUCCACAGACAAACCGUUGCCUCUCCUAAGGGGACCCGCGCUUGGCGGCCGCAGAAGCGCGAGGCGCUGUGGGUGUGGGCGCGGGGGCGUGGGAGUCGACACUCUCCCCUCAGCCGGGCCGCGCUCUCUGCGAUCCUCCCGAGUCCUGGCCAGCGGCCUCGGCUCGCCCCCUAACGCCCUCGCCAGGACCGCUGCGGUCGGGCCCAGGGCGCCCUGGGCUGGAGGCCGGAGCGGGACGGCCCCGCGGGACUCCGGAGCCUUGGUAAGGCAGAGGCUCCGACCCGGUUCACGAAAACGCCCGGCUCCUCCAGGAUUUUUCGUGUCUUAAGCAGCUCUGAGAAGGCUCCGCUGGCGCUUGGGGAACCCCGCUGUGCGGCUCCUCCCGUUUGUCUCUCUCAAGCUCUCGCCUUCCUCCCCUGGUCCUCCCUCCACAUCCCCUGCCCUGCCGGAGUCCCGGGCCGCGCUGGCUGAGCCCAACGUACCCGAAGAAGAGCGCCGGAGCCCCCUGCUGGCCGGACGCGGCAGGCGCCGCGGCCCGCUCGGUCCCCUCCGGCCCGCGGGCGCUGCCCAGCCCGGACCCGCCUCCACCCUCCAGCGCCCCAGCGCAGGGGGCGUGCUAAAAGCAACAGAAAACAAAACAAAAACAAACAAAGCGCCAAACCCCACUCUCACCUCGUCUACUGGUCAAAGGGCAUUCUUAAGUGACACUGGCUCCCCGCUCUCCGUGGACGUGCCUGGGAGAAUGCAGCCACUACUAGUACGGUUCAGAGCAACAGCCUCAAUUUGUUCAUGCGAAUGUGUUUCCUUGCAUCGCUGCUGCACAACAGUAUUCUCACUCUGUUGCCCCGGCUGGAGUACAGUGGCUCCAUCUCAGCUCACUGCAACCUCUGCCUCCUAAGUUCAAGUGAUUCUCCUGCCUCAACCUCCCAAGUAGCUGGGAGUACAGGUGCCUACCACCAUGGCCAGCUAAUUUUUGUAUUAGUACUGGAGAUGGGAUUUCACCAUAUUGGUCAGCCCGGUCUCAAACUCCUGAUCUCAAGUGGUCUGCCUACCUCAGCCUCCCAAAGUGCUGGGAUUACAGGCAUAAGCCACCAUGCCCGGCCCUCUUUUACCGACUUUUCAUCCAGCAGAUAUUCAGCAAUGUUAACUCUACAGGGCUCUGUUAGUCUUUCAAUGACUGUAUGUGUGUCUUCAUCCAGUAUGAAAUAUAACUUAAUCUGUAA
This is a long non-coding RNA of Callithrix jacchus (white-tufted-ear marmoset), 1287 nucleotides long. RefSeq lists it as uncharacterized. The record is from RefSeq and is a predicted model, not a curated record. NCBI's taxonomy places the organism in Eukaryota, Metazoa, Chordata, Mammalia, Primates, Cebidae.